This 67-nucleotide transfer RNA is filed under the name Cnemotriccus fuscatus. RNAcentral describes it as "tRNA-Cys". The record is from RNAcentral. Lineage: Eukaryota; Metazoa; Chordata; Aves; Passeriformes; Tyrannidae.
AGCUCUGUAGUGAAUUUCAUGCUGAGUUGCAAACUCAGAGAUGCGUAUUAGGCAUACGCCAGGGCUU